UGGGGAAUAUUGCACAAUGGGGGAAACCCUGAUGCAGCGACGCCGCGUGAGUGAAGAAGUAUCUCGGUAUGUAAAGCUCUAUCAGCAGGAAAGAUAAUGACGGUACCUGACUAAGAAGCCCCGGCUAACUACGUGCCAGCAGCCGCGGUAAUACGUAGGGGGCGAGCGUUAUCCGGAUUUACUGGGUGUAAAGGGAGCGUAGACGGCGUCGCAAGUCUGAAGUGAAAGCCCGUGGCUCAACCGCGGAACCGCUUUGGAAACUGCGUGGCUGGAGUGCUGGAGAGGUAAGCGGAAUUCCUGGUGUAGCGGUGAAAUGCGUAGAUAUCAGGAGGAACACCGGUGGCGAAGGCGGCUUACUGGACAGUGACUGACGUUGAGGCUCGAAAGCGUGGGGAGCGAACAGG
RNAcentral lists this ribosomal RNA (404 nucleotides) under uncultured bacterium. RNAcentral describes it as "bacterial SSU rRNA". It matches the Rfam family "Bacterial small subunit ribosomal RNA", at positions 355 to 776 of the family's 1533-position model. The record is from RNAcentral.